RNAcentral lists this ribosomal RNA (566 nucleotides) under uncultured bacterium. Its description in RNAcentral is "bacterial SSU rRNA". It matches the Rfam family "Bacterial small subunit ribosomal RNA", at positions 337 to 917 of the family's 1533-position model. The record is from RNAcentral.
UCCUACGGGAGGCAGCAGUGGGGAAUUUUCCGCAAUGGGCGAAAGCCUGACGGAGCAAUACCGCGUGAGGGAAGACGGCCUAUGGGUUGUAAACCUCUUUUUUCAGGGAGGAAUUUUGACGUGUACCUGAAGAAUAAGCAUCGGCUAACUCCGUGCCAGCAGCCGCGGUAAGACGGAGGAUGCAAGUGUUAUCCGGAAUCACUGGGCGUAAAGCGUCUGUAGGUGGUUUAAUAAGUCAACUGUUAAAUCUUGAGGCUCAACUUCAAAAUCGCAGUCGAAACUAUUAGACUAGAGUAUAGUAGAGGUAAAGGGAAUUUCCAGUGGAGCGGUGAAAUGCGUAGAUAUUGGAAAGAACACCGAUGGCGAAGGCACUUUACUGGGCUAUUACUGACACUCAGAGACGAAAGCUAGGGUAGCAAAUGGGAUUAGAUACCCCAGUAGUCCUAGCCGUAAACAAUGGAUACUAGAUGUUGAACAGAUCGACCUGUGCAGUAUCAAAGCUAACGCGUUAAGUAUCCCGCCUGGGAAGUAUGCUCGCAAGAGUGAAACUCAAAGGAAUUGACGGA